GUUGGGAACGUUGUUGGGGCUCGGGGGGCCGCUCGGAGCGCUGGGAGCGUUUUGGGGGCUUCUCGGAACGCUGGGGCCGUUUGGGGGGCCGUUGGGAACGUUGGGGCCGUUGGCGGCGGCGGGCGGCGUGUCGUGAGGCGAAACGCGGCGGUUUCGGCAGCCGCCGCCCGCCGUGACUCAGGCCGCGGGGCCGGGCCGGGCCGGGACGAGGCCCUGGGCGCGGGGCGGGGGCGGGGGCGCUGGGCCGGGUCGCCGCUGCGAGCAGCGGGGGAGUCGGGGGCAGCUUGGCACGGCGCUUUAGGGAGGGCUUUGAACGCAGAAACGUGAGAAAGAAACAGAAAAUGCCUCGGAUAUUUCAAGGAGUUGUUCAGAACGAGAGGGUUUCUUAGUGCUCUAGCACUGUUUGUGGGCGCUAAAAGCGAAGGGAAGACACCGAAGUCUCAGGACAGAAGCCUUGCGGGAUCCCUUUUAUGUUACGGUAACAUGGAAGGAAAAAGAGGAAAGCUUGCUCAUAGAAAGCAGAGUCACUGUUAAGUGUGCAUUUUGGUCUAAGUCUGAUACUCGUCUGGUUCUUGUGCUUUCCUUGCUCUGGGCUCGGAUGCAGUUCUGAACCGUGUCGUACAAAAUACUGUUUCAGUGCCCUCGUGCAGCAUGAUCAAUCAGAAUGACUGUAGAUGAAUGCUGUAAUACGAGGUUAUUUCCCUGUCAGCACAAUGUGCAAGUUUUUCUUCCAUGUAUUAUUUUCCCAGGAGUUCCUUAAGUGAACAGUACUUCCUUCUGAGAUACCCGCAGUAAGCCUUUUUUAGCACUUCACUGUAAUGGUGUUAUUAGCAAAGUUCCUUUAGUUUGUGCAGCUGCAUGACUCAUUCCUGACUCUAGGCCUCGCAAAGUUGUAAUUAAGGGACUAGAUGUACUCAACUUCUAUUAAAAAAAAAAGGUGCCUUAGUAACUGAAGUCUUAUUUUUUUCAUCAUGUUUGUUAAGUUCCAUUAAACCUUAUAAGAUGGCACAGCUCAAUAAACAAAAUUUUCAGCAUA
Molecule: long non-coding RNA, 1036 nt
Organism: Dromaius novaehollandiae (emu)
Lineage: Eukaryota; Metazoa; Chordata; Aves; Casuariiformes; Dromaiidae
Exons: 2
Source: RefSeq, a predicted model, not a curated record